Molecule: small nuclear RNA, 102 nt
Organism: Symphalangus syndactylus (siamang)
Lineage: Eukaryota; Metazoa; Chordata; Mammalia; Primates; Hylobatidae
Source: RefSeq, a predicted model, not a curated record
UGCUCGCUUCAGCAGCACAUAUCUAAAAUUAGAAUACAGAAAAGGUUAGCAUGGCCCCUGUGCAAAGAUGACGUGCAAAUUCGUGAAAUAUUCUCUAUUUUU